GACGAACGCUGGCGGCGUGCUUAACACAUGCAAGUCGAGCGGUAAGGCCCCUUCGGGAGUACACGAGCGGCGAACGGGUGAGUAACACGUGAGUAAUCUGCCCUUCACUUCGGGAUAACCACCGGAAACGGUGGCUAAUACCGAAUACGACCAGUCUUCGCAUGAGGUGCUGGUGGAAAGUCUUUUCGGUGAAGGAUGUGCUCGCGGCCUAUCAGCUUGUUGGUGGGGUAAUGGCCUACCAAGGCUUCGACGGGUAGCCGGCCUGAGAGGGUGACCGGCCACACUGGGACUGAGACACGGCCCAGACUCCUACGGGAGGCAGCAGUGGGGAAUAUUGGACAAUGGGCGAAAGCCUGAUCCAGCAACGCCGCGUGAGGGAUGACGGCCUUCGGGUUGUAAACCUCUUUCAGUACCGACGAAGCGCCCUGUCGGGUGGUGACGGUAGGUACAGAAGAAGGACCGGCCAACUACGUG
This 474-nucleotide ribosomal RNA is filed under the name uncultured bacterium. Its description in RNAcentral is "partial 16S ribosomal RNA". It matches the Rfam family "Bacterial small subunit ribosomal RNA", at positions 28 to 507 of the family's 1533-position model. The record is from RNAcentral.